This 195-nucleotide unclassified non-coding RNA is filed under the name Glomeromycotina sp. RNAcentral describes it as "partial contains small subunit ribosomal RNA, internal transcribed spacer 1, and 5.8S ribosomal RNA". The stretch from base 1 to 47 matches the Rfam family "Eukaryotic small subunit ribosomal RNA", at positions 1785 to 1831 of the family's 1831-position model. The record is from RNAcentral. Lineage: Eukaryota; Fungi; Glomeromycota.
AAAGUCGUAACAAGGUUUCCGUAGGUGAACCUGCGGAAGGAUCAUUAUAAAAUUUUCGUAUAUUUAUUUUUAAAUAUAUAAAAAUCAUACAUGUAUUCAAAACCCACACGCUUGUAACCAAUUUUAACAAAACAUUAUAUCUCGCAUAUAAUGAUAAUUAAAAAACAACUUUCAACAACGGAUCUCUUGGCUCUC